UACGUAGGUGGCAAGCGUUGUCCGGAUUUACUGGGCGUAAAGAGCGCGCAGGCGGUCGUUCAAGUCGCGUGUGAAAGCCCCCGGCUCAACUGGGGAGGGUCACGCGAUACUGAUCGACUCGAAGGCAGGAGAGGGUAGUGGAAUUCCCGGUGUAGUGGUGAAAUGCGUAGAGAUCGGGAGGAACACCAGUGGCGAAGGCGGCUUCCUGGACCAGACCUGACGCUGAGGCGCGAAAGCGUGGGGAGCGAUCCGG
RNAcentral lists this ribosomal RNA (253 nucleotides) under uncultured bacterium. RNAcentral describes it as "partial 16S ribosomal RNA". It matches the Rfam family "Bacterial small subunit ribosomal RNA", at positions 524 to 776 of the family's 1533-position model. The record is from RNAcentral.